Molecule: ribosomal RNA, 49 nt
Filed under: Syringa fauriei
Lineage: Eukaryota; Viridiplantae; Streptophyta; Magnoliopsida; Lamiales; Oleaceae
Description: partial large subunit ribosomal RNA
Source: RNAcentral
GACCCCAGGUCAGGCGGGAUUACCCGCUGAUUUUAAGCAUAUCAAAAAC